Molecule: transfer RNA, 69 nt
Filed under: Ictidomys tridecemlineatus (thirteen-lined ground squirrel)
Lineage: Eukaryota; Metazoa; Chordata; Mammalia; Rodentia; Sciuridae
Description: Spermophilus tridecemlineatus (thirteen-lined ground squirrel) tRNA
Rfam family: tRNA
About the family: Transfer RNA (tRNA) molecules are approximately 80 nucleotides in length. Their secondary structure includes four short double-helical elements and three loops (D, anti-codon, and T loops).
Source: Rfam by way of RNAcentral
GGGGUUGUGGCUCAGCGGUAGAGCACAUGCCUAGCAUGUGCAAGGCCCUGGGUUCAAUCCUCAGCACCA